This 127-nucleotide ribosomal RNA is filed under the name Ochotona princeps (American pika). Lineage: Eukaryota; Metazoa; Chordata; Mammalia; Lagomorpha; Ochotonidae. The record is from RNAcentral.
GUCCAUGGCCAUACCACCCUGAACGUGACUGAUCCCGUCUGAUCUUGGUAGCUAAGCAGGGUUGGGCCUGGUUAGUACUUUGAUGGGAGAGUGCUUGGAGAAUUACAAAUAAACCUGCCAUAUGACC